This 1442-nucleotide ribosomal RNA is filed under the name metagenome. Its description in RNAcentral is "bacterial SSU rRNA". It matches the Rfam family "Bacterial small subunit ribosomal RNA". The record is from RNAcentral.
AGUUUGAUCCUGGCUCAGGAUGAACGCUGGCGGCGUGCUUAACACAUGCAAGUCGAACGAGCCUUCGGGCUAGUGGCGGACGGGUGAGUAACGCGUGGGAAUCUGCCCUCAGGAGGGGGAUAACGGCCGGAAACGGCCGCUAAUACCCCAUAUGCCGAGAGGUGAAACGAAAUUCGCCUGAGGAUGAGCCCGCGUCUGAUUAGCUAGUUGGUGUGGUAAUGGCUCACCAAGGCUUCGAUCAGUAGCUGGUCUGAGAGGAUGAUCAGCCACACUGGGACUGAGACACGGCCCAGACUCCUACGGGAGGCAGCAGUGGGGAAUUUUCCGCAAUGGGCGCAAGCCUGACGGAGCAACGCCGCGUGAGGGACGAAGGCCUCUGGGCUGUAAACCUCUUUUCUCAAGGAAGAAGACAUGACGGUACUUGAGGAAUAAGCCACGGCUGAUUCCGUGCCAGCAGCCGCGGUAAUACGGGAGUGGCAAGCGUUAUCCGGAAUUAUUGGGCGUAAAGCGUCCGCAGGCGGCCCAGCAAGUCUGUUGUUAAAAAGUGGAGCUCAACUCCAUCCAGGCAAUGGAAACUGCUGGGCUAGAGUGUGGUAGGGGCAGAGGGAAUUCCCGGUGUAGCGGUGAAAUGCGUAGAUAUCGGGAAGAACACCAGUGGCGAAGGCGCUCUGCUGGGCCAUAACUGACGCUCAUGGACGAAAGCCAGGGGAGCGAAAGGGAUUAGAUACCCCUGUAGUCCUGGCCGUAAACGAUGAACACUAGGUGUCGGGGGAAUCGACCCCCUCGGUGUCGUAGCCAACGCGUUAAGUGUUCCGCCUGGGGAGUACGCACGCAAGUGUGAAACUCAAAGGAAUUGACGGGGGCCCGCACAAGCGGUGGAGUAUGUGGUUUAAUUCGAUGCAACGCGAAGAACCUUACCAGGGUUUGACAUCCUGCGAAUCCCUUGGAAACUUGGGAGUGCCUUCGGGAGCGCAGUGACAGGUGGUGCAUGGCUGUCGUCAGCUCGUGUCGUGAGAUGUUGGGUUAAGUCCCGCAACGAGCGCAACCCACGUCUUUAGUUGCCAGCAUUUAGUUGGGCACUCUAGAGAGACCGCCGGUGAUAAACCGGAGGAAGGUGUGGAUGACGUCAAGUCAUCAUGCCCCUUACAUCCUGGGCUACACACGUACUACAAUGCUACGGACAAAGGGCAGCAAACUCGCGAGAGCUAGCAAAUCCCAUAAACCGUGGCUCAGUUCAGAUCGUAGGCUGCAACUCGCCUACGUGAAGGAGGAAUCGCUAGUAAUCGCAGGUCAGCAUACUGCGGUGAAUACGUUCUCGGGCCUUGUACACACCGCCCGUCACACCAUGGAAGUUGGCCAUGCCCGAAGUCGUUACUCCAACCCGUAAGGGAGGAGGACGCCGGAGGUGGGGCUGAUGACUGGGGUGAAGUCGUAACAAGGUA